GACGAACGCUGGCGGCGUGCUUAACACAUGCAAGUCGAACGAAAGGACGGGAAGAGCUUGCUCUUUCCGGAAUUGAGUGGCAAACGGGUGAGUAACACGUAAACAACCUGCCUUCAGGAUGGGGACAACAGACGGAAACGACUGCUAAUACCGAAUAAGUUCCAAGAGCCGCAUGGCCCAUGGAAGAAAAGGUGGCCUCUACCUGUAAGCUAUCGCCUGAAGAGGGGUUUGCGUCUGAUUAGCUGGUUGGAGGGGUAACGGCCCACCAAGGCGACGAUCAGUAGCCGGUCUGAGAGGAUGAACGGCCACACUGGAACUGAGACACGGUCCAGACUCCUACGGGAGGCAGCAGUGGGGAAUCUUGGUCAAUGGUCGGCAGACUGAACCAGCCAAGUCGCGUGAGGGAAGACGGCCCUACGGGUUGUAAACCUCUUUGUCGGAGAGUAAAGUACGCUACGUGUAGUGUAUUGCAAGUAUCCGAGAAAAGCAUCGGCUAACUCCGUGCCAGCAGCC
This 513-nucleotide ribosomal RNA is filed under the name uncultured bacterium. RNAcentral's name for it is "bacterial SSU rRNA". It matches the Rfam family "Bacterial small subunit ribosomal RNA", at positions 28 to 516 of the family's 1533-position model. The record is from RNAcentral.